This 251-nucleotide ribosomal RNA is filed under the name uncultured bacterium. Its description in RNAcentral is "partial 16S ribosomal RNA". It matches the Rfam family "Bacterial small subunit ribosomal RNA", at positions 525 to 775 of the family's 1533-position model. The record is from RNAcentral.
ACGUAGGGGGCAAGCGUUAUCCGGAUUUACUGGGUGUAAAGGGAGCGUAGACGGCAAGACAAGUCUGAUGUGAAAACCCAGGGCUUAACCCUGGGACUGCAUUGGAAACUGUCUGGCUCGAGUGCCGGAGAGGUAAGCGGAAUUCCUAGUGUAGCGGUGAAAUGCGUAGAUAUUAGGAAGAACACCAGUGGCGAAGGCGGCUUACUGGACGGUAACUGACGUUGAGGCUCGAAAGCGUGGGGAGCAAACAG